UACUCUGGUGAAGCACUUGGACAAAGGGCAGCAUGUUUGAAGAACUCUCCCAGGUUUGAAAUAAUGACACUGAUCUGGCGUUCUGGAAACACUGGGUGCUGGAAUUAAAAUGCAGCCCCGCACAGAGGAGAAAGGCCGGCCUCUCGAUUGCCCCGCGGAGCCAGAGUUGGUGUGAGAUGAGAAUGCAAUCACUGCCACCGCCAGCAGAUUCUCAGCCCGGUUUUAUCGAGAGCUGCACAAAAAAUUGAUCUGCAAUCAAGCUCUGUUUGUUUUUAAAAUCCCUGAACAUCUAAGAAGCCUAUUUUAGUCUGUCAAGUUGAGCAGACACUCGCCUCUUUUAUACAAAUAACAGUAAAACCCAGACCUGGGAUAA
This is a non-coding RNA of Ictidomys tridecemlineatus (thirteen-lined ground squirrel), 373 nucleotides long. The record is from RefSeq and is a predicted model, not a curated record. Lineage: Eukaryota; Metazoa; Chordata; Mammalia; Rodentia; Sciuridae.